This 253-nucleotide ribosomal RNA is filed under the name uncultured bacterium. RNAcentral's name for it is "partial 16S ribosomal RNA". It matches the Rfam family "Bacterial small subunit ribosomal RNA", at positions 524 to 776 of the family's 1533-position model. The record is from RNAcentral.
UACGUAGGGGGCAAGCGUUGUCCGGAUUUAUUGGGCGUAAAGAGCGUGUAGGCGGCCAGGUAGGUCAGCUGUGAAAACUCGAGGCUCAACCUCGAGACGUCGGUUGAAACCACCUGGCUAGAGUCCGGAAGAGGAGAGUGGAAUUCCUGGUGUAGCGGUGAAAUGCGCAGAUAUCAGGAAGAACACCCGUGGCGAAGGCGGCUCUCUGGGACGGUACUGACGCUGAGACGCGAAAGCUAGGGUAGCAAACGGG